This 1427-nucleotide ribosomal RNA is filed under the name uncultured bacterium. RNAcentral's name for it is "bacterial SSU rRNA". It matches the Rfam family "Bacterial small subunit ribosomal RNA". The record is from RNAcentral.
AGAGUUUGAUCCUGGCUCAGGAUGAACGCUAGCGGCAGGCUUAACACAUGCAAGUCGAGGGGCAGCGAGGGUAGCAAUACCUGUCGGCGACCGGCGCAAGGGGGUGCGUAACGCGUGAGCAACAUGCCCGUAUCAGGGGGAUAAUCCAGGGAAACUUGGUCUAAUACCCCAUAGUAAUUUUUGUAGGCAUCUAUAGAAAUUUAAAGCUUUGGUGGAUACGGAUUGGCUCGCGUGACAUUAGCUGGAUGGUAGGGUAACGGCCUACCAUGGCUACGAUGUCUAGGGGUUCUGAGAGGAUUACCCCCCACACUGGUACUGAGACACGGACCAGACUCCUACGGGAGGCAGCAGUGAGGAAUAUUGGUCAAUGGGCGCAAGCCUGAACCAGCCAUCCCGCGUGCAGGAUGACGGCCCUAUGGGUUGUAAACUGCUUUUGUACCUGAAGAAUAGGCCCAACGAGUUGGGAUUUGCCGGUAAGGUAUGAAUAAGCAUCGGCUAACUCCGUGCCAGCAGCCGCGGUAAUACGGAGGAUGCAAGCGUUAUCCGGAUUCAUUGGGUUUAAAGGGUGCGCAGGUGGGAAAAUAAGUCAGUGGUGAAAGUUCGGAGCUUAACGGUAGAAUUGCCAUUGAUACUGAAGAGCUUGAGUACAGUUGAGGUAAGCGGAAUGUGUAGUGUAGCGGUGAAAUGCUUAGAUAUUACACAGAACACCGAUUGCGAAGGCAGCUUACUAAGCCAUUACUGACGCUGAGGCACGAAAGCGUGGGGAUCGAACAGGAUUAGAUACCCUGGUAGUCCACGCCGUAAACGAUGAUCACUCGCUGUUGGGGGUUAACAGUCAGCUGCCAAGCGAAAGCAUUAAGUGAUCCACCUGGGGAGUACGAUCGCAAGGUUGAAACUCAAAGGAAUUGACGGGGGCCCGCACAAGCGGAGGAACAUGUGGUUUAAUUCGAUGAUACGCGAGGAACCUUACCUGGGCUUAAAUGUAGGCUGCAUUCGGCUGAAAGGCUGAUUCCCUUCGGGGCUGCUUACAAGGUGCUGCAUGGUUGUCGUCAGCUCGUGCCGUGAGGUGUCGGGUUAAGUCCCAUAACGAGCGCAACCCUUAUCGUUAGUUGCCAGCGGGUUAAGCCGGGGACUCUAACGAAACUGCCACCGUAAGGUGAGAGGAAGGUGGGGAUGACGUCAAAUCAGCACGGCCCUUAUGUCCAGGGCUACACACGUGUUACAAUGGCCGAUACAAAGGGCAGCUACUCCGCGAGGAGAUGCUAAUCUCUAAAGUCGGUCCCAGUUCGGAUUGGAGUCUGCAACCCGACUCCAUGAAGUUGGAUUCGCUAGUAAUCGCGCAUCAGCCAUGGCGCGGUGAAUACGUUCCCGGGCCUUGUACACACCGCCCGUCAAACCAUGGGAGCUGGGGGUGCCUGAAGCCGGUA